Molecule: ribosomal RNA, 253 nt
Filed under: uncultured bacterium
Lineage: Bacteria
Description: partial 16S ribosomal RNA
Rfam family: Bacterial small subunit ribosomal RNA
Source: RNAcentral
UACGUAGGGUGCGAGCGUUGUCCGGAAUUACUGGGCGUAAAGAGCCCGUAGGUGGUUUGUCGCGUUGUUCGUGAAAACUCACAGCUCAACUGUGGGCGUGCGGGCGAUACGGGCAGACUGGAGUACUGCAGGGGAGACUGGAAUUCCUGGUGUAGCGGUGGAAUGCGCAGAUAUCAGGAGGAACACCGGUGGCGAAGGCGGGUCUCUGGGCAGUAACUGACGCUGAGGAGCGAAAGCGUGGGGAGCGAACAGG